AUGCUUCUUACCUUGAUCGCCGUGCUCGCUUCGGCGUGGCCCGCGGCGGCAGCGGCAUCGCAACCACCGAGCGGAACAUGCCAGCGGCGGUGCGGCGACGUGGACAUCCCGUACCCGUUCGGCAUCGCCCGCGGGUGCUACCUCUACACGGGCGAGAACGACGUGACCUUCGGCCUCACCUGCAACCUCACCGCCGACGGCACCUACAGGCCCUUCUGCUUCGAGGUCGAGGUCCUGGGCGUGUCCGUGGCCCGCGGGCAGGCGCGCGUCCGCAACGAGAUCAACCCGUGGUGCUACAACGCCACGUCCCGGUCCAUGGACGGGGGGAGCAGCAUGUGGACGGACUUCUCCGACUCGUCCUUCAUGCUGUCCGACGAGGACAACCGGUUCACCGUGGUCGGGUGCAACUCGCUCGCCUACGUGAGCUCCAAGGACGCGUCCCAGUUCGCGACGGGCUCCACGUACAUGACCGGGUGCAUGGCCACGUGCCCGGGCGCCGGCCGGCUGGAGAACGGCUCCUGCUCCGGCAUGGGCUGCUGCCAGGCGGCCAUCCCCAGGGGGAUCAACUCGUACGACGUGGUGUUUGAGGAGAAGUUCAACACCACCGCGAUCGCUAACUUCAGCCGGUGCAGCUACGCGGUCCUGGUCGAGGCGGCGUGGUUCGACUUCCGCACCACCUACGUCACCGCCGGCGACUUCAUGGCGUCCACCGGCGGGAAGGUUCCGCUGGUGCUCGACUGGGUGGUAGGGAAGGUGACGUGCCGGGAGGCGAUGCGGAACACCACGGCCUACGCCUGCGUCAGCAGCAGCAGCGUGUGCGUGGAUUCGAGGAACGGCCCGGGAUAUCUCUGCAACUGCUCUCGUGGGUACCAAGGCAACCCAUACAUGCAAGGCGGCUGCCGAGAUAUUGACGAGUGCGGCGAUGGUGGAAUCAGUUACCCGUGCUCUGCUCCUGGUACCUGCAUCAACACCCCGGGAGGAUUCAGGUGCGCUUGCCCUGACAAGACAACAGGCAACGCUUAUACUGGCACAUGCGAGGCCAAGAAAUCUCAACUUGGAGCGCACAUUGCAAUUGGUGUUAGCAUCAGCGUAGUUGUACUGGUAAUUAGCAUGUCCUGCGCCUACCUGAUCCACGAAAGGAGGAGCCUCGCCACCGUAAAGCGGAGGUACUUCAAGCAGCACGGAGGCCUCAUGCUGUUCGAGGAGAUGAAGUCAAAGCAAGGAGUGUCCUUCACGCUGUUCACCAAGGAGGAGCUAGAGGAGGCAACCGGCAGAUUCGACGAGCGAAAUGUGAUCGGGAAGGGAGGCAACGGCACUGUCUACAAGGGCACCCUCAAGGACAGCCGAACAGUGGCCAUAAAGCGGUGCAAGCUCAUCAACGACCGGCAGAAGAAGGAGUUCGGGAAGGAGAUGCUCAUCCUGUCCCAGAUCAACCACCGGAACGUCGUCAGGCUCUACGGCUGCUGCCUCGAGGUGGAGGUCCCCAUGCUCGUCUACGAGUUCGUCCCCAACGGCACCCUGUACCAGCUCAUCCACCGCCACGGAGCGCGCGCCCCCCUGCCCCUGGCGACGCGCCUCAAGAUCGCGCACGAGGGCGCCGAGGCGCUCGCGUACCUGCACUCCUGGGCCUCGCCGCCGAUCAUCCACGGCGACGUCAAGUCGCCCAACAUGCUCAUCGACGACGGCCACACCGUCAAGGUCUCCGACUUCGGGGCCUCCACGCUGGCCCCGACGGACGAGGCCCAGUUCGUGACGUUUGUCCAGGGCACCUGCGGCUACCUCGACCCGGAGUACAUGCAGACCUGCAAGCUGACGGACAAGAGCGACGUGUACAGCUUCGGCGUCGUCCUCCUGGAGCUGCUCACCCGGAGGAAGGCGCUCAACCUUCAGGCCGCCGAGGGCGAGGAGAAGAACCUCUCGUCGCACUUCCUUCUCGCCGCGAGCGCGAGCAAGCUGGACGAGAUAGUGGACGCCCAGAUCGUGGACGAGCAGAGCAUCGAGGUGAUUGAGCAGGUGGCAGAGAUAGCAAAGCAGUGCCUGGAGAUGGGCAGCGAGAGGAGACCCUCCAUGCGCGAGGUUGCAGAAGAGCUUGGCGGGCUAAGGAGGCGUCUGCUUGCGCAGCAUCCGUGGGGCCAAAAGAGUUCCGAGGAGACGGAAGCCUUGCUUGCUGUUGGGUCGCCACCGCCAGCAAGCAAUUGCUCCGAGAUUGAGCUUAGCAAUGCAUAUGUCAGCCUGGACGAUUCUGCGUAUCUGGGAGUGCAAUCCCCACGGUGA
This 2274-nucleotide ribosomal RNA is filed under the name Triticum aestivum (bread wheat). RNAcentral describes it as "partial small subunit ribosomal RNA". The record is from RNAcentral. Lineage: Eukaryota; Viridiplantae; Streptophyta; Magnoliopsida; Poales; Poaceae.